This 458-nucleotide long non-coding RNA is filed under the name Sorghum bicolor (sorghum). RNAcentral's name for it is "long non-coding RNA (SBIC_LNC006736)". The record is from RNAcentral. Lineage: Eukaryota; Viridiplantae; Streptophyta; Magnoliopsida; Poales; Poaceae.
ACGGUAGGGCUGGGCCAGGAACGAAGAGUAUCCUUCCACAGAUCCAAAGAAAAAUUCUCUGCUCUAAAAGGGAUCCUGUUGGUUUCUGCGUUUAUGAGGUUGGUUGGAUCUGGAUCCCCUAGCGGGCCAAGGCAUUGGAGGUGUGGUUGAUCAGUGGGGAUGACAAUUUUGUUAGCCGAUUCCUAGUGGUUUUGGAGAUAGGAAAGAAAAACAAAAAAAAGGGGGAGAGAAAAUGUUCAGUAAGAUGGAUUGCGGAUGAACAGGGGUGCGAGAAAAAGUACAAAAGAUGGCGCGAAGGACUGACCUCAGGAACGAUGAAGUUGACGGCCAUUUCACCACGGAGAAGAUAUUUGAGAGCUUCGGAGUUGGUGAAGAAGGGGCUUCGUCGAGGAUUUUGGAGCUUUUGGACGGCACCGCCGCCGGGAAAGUGAGGUUGGAGUUGUGGAAUGAUAUGAUGG